This 367-nucleotide ribosomal RNA is filed under the name uncultured Anaplasma sp. Its description in RNAcentral is "bacterial SSU rRNA". It matches the Rfam family "Bacterial small subunit ribosomal RNA", at positions 82 to 484 of the family's 1533-position model. Lineage: Bacteria; Pseudomonadati; Pseudomonadota; Alphaproteobacteria; Rickettsiales; Anaplasmataceae. The record is from RNAcentral.
CCCCAAUGUAUUAGUGGCAGACGGGUGAGUAAUGCAUAGGGAUCUACCUAGUAGUAUGGGAUAGCCACUAGAAAUGGUGGGUAAUACUGUAUAAUCCCUGCGGGGGAAAGAUUUAUCGCUAUUAGAUGAGCCUAUGUUAGAUUAGCUAGUUGGUAGGGUAAAGGCCUACCAAGGCGAUGAUCUAUAGCUGGUCUGAGAGGAUGAUCAGCCACACUGGAACUGAGAUACGGUCCAGACUCCUACGGGAGGCAGCAGUGGGGAAUAUUGGACAAUGGGCGCAAGCCUGAUCCAGCUAUGCCGCGUGAGUGAGGAAGGCCCUAGGGUUGUAAAACUCUUUCAGUAGGGAAGAUAAUGACGGUACCUAUAA